UAGAGUUUUUNAUCUUGGCUCAGGAUAAANGCUGGCGGCGUGCCUAAUACAUGCAAGUCGAGCGAACAGAUAAGGAGCUUGCUCCUUUGACGUUAGCGGCGGACGGGUGAGUAACACGUGGGUAACCUACCNAUAAGACUGGGAUAACUUCGGGAAACCGGAGCUAAUACCGGAUAACAUUUGGAACCGCAUGGUUUUAAAGUGAAAGAUGGUUUUGCUAUCACUUAUAGAUGGACCCGCGCCGUAUUAGNUAGUUGGUAAGGUAACGGCUUACCAAGGCNACGAUACGUAGCCGACCUGAGAGGGUGAUCGGCCNCACUGGAACUGAGACACGGUCCAGACUCCNACGGGAGGCAGCAGUAGGGAAUCUUCCGCAAUGGGCGAAAGCCUNACGGAGCAACAGCCGCGUGAGUGAUGAAGGGUUUCGGCUCGUAAAACUCUGUUAUUAGGGAAGAACAAAUGUGUAAGUAACUGUGCACGUCCUUGUACGUGUACCUAACCA
Molecule: ribosomal RNA, 502 nt
Filed under: Staphylococcus saprophyticus
Lineage: Bacteria; Bacillati; Bacillota; Bacilli; Caryophanales; Staphylococcaceae
Description: bacterial SSU rRNA
Rfam family: Bacterial small subunit ribosomal RNA
Source: RNAcentral